RNAcentral lists this ribosomal RNA (490 nucleotides) under uncultured bacterium. RNAcentral describes it as "partial 16S ribosomal RNA". It matches the Rfam family "Bacterial small subunit ribosomal RNA", at positions 30 to 507 of the family's 1533-position model. The record is from RNAcentral.
AUUGAACGCUGGCGGCAGGCCUAACACAUGCAAGUCGAACGGUAACAGGGAUCAGCUUGCUGAUUCGCUGACGAGUGGCGGACGGGUGAGUAAUGUCUGGGAAACUGCCUGAUGGAGGGGGAUAACUACUGGAAACGGUAGCUAAUACCGCAUAACGUCGCAAGACCAAAGAGGGGGACCUUCGGGCCUCUUGCCAUCGGAUGUGCCCAGAUGGGAUUAGCUAGUAGGUGGGGUAACGGCUCACCUAGGCGACGAUCCCUAGCUGGUCUGAGAGGAUGACCAGCCACACUGGAACGGAGACACGGUCCAGACUCCUACGGGAGGCAGCAGUGGGGAAUAUUGCACAAUGGGCGCAAGCCUGAUGCAGCCAUGCCGCGUGUAUGAAGAAGGCCUUCGGGUUGUAAAGUACUUUCAGCGGGGAGGAAGGGAGUAAAGUUAAUACCUUUGCUCAUUGACGUUACCCGCAGAAGAAGCACCGGCUAACUCCGUG